AUAAUUACCUGGCAGGGGAGAAACCUGGGUUUUUCUCAGGGCAAGGCUUAUCCAUUGCAUUCCUGAUGUGUGCUGGCCCCUGUGAUUUCCACAAAUGUAGGAAACUCAACUGCAUCAUCUGUGGUACUAGGGGGCUGUGUGUGCUCUUCCGUA
Molecule: small nuclear RNA, 153 nt
Organism: Cricetulus griseus (Chinese hamster)
Lineage: Eukaryota; Metazoa; Chordata; Mammalia; Rodentia; Cricetidae
Gene: U1
Rfam family: U1 spliceosomal RNA
About the family: U1 is a small nuclear RNA (snRNA) component of the spliceosome (involved in pre-mRNA splicing).
Source: Ensembl